RNAcentral lists this ribosomal RNA (429 nucleotides) under Chloroflexota bacterium. RNAcentral's name for it is "Chloroflexi bacterium partial 16S ribosomal RNA". It matches the Rfam family "Bacterial small subunit ribosomal RNA", at positions 355 to 776 of the family's 1533-position model. Lineage: Bacteria; Bacillati; Chloroflexota. The record is from RNAcentral.
UGGGGAAUAUUGCACAAUGGGCGCAAGCCUGAUGCAGCCAUGCCGCGUGUAUGAAGAAGGCCUUCGGGUUGUAAAGUACUUUCAGCGGGGAGGAAGGGAGUAAAGUUAAUACCUUUACUCAUUGACGUUACCCGCAGAAGAAGCACCGGCUAACUCCGUGCCAGCAGCCGCGGUAAUACGGAGGGUGCAAGCGUUAAUCGGAAUUACUGGGCGUAAAGCGCACGCAGGCGGUCUGUCAAGUCGGAUGUGAAAUCCCCGGGCUCAACCUGGGAACUGCAUUCGAAACUGGCGAGCUUGAGUCUCGUAGAGGGGGGUAGAAUUCCAGGUGUAGCGGUGAAAUGCGUAGAGAUCUGGAGGAAUACCGGUGGCGAAGGCGGCCCCCUGGACGAAGACUGACGCUCAGGUGCGAAAGCGUGGGGAGCAAACAGG